This 312-nucleotide ribosomal RNA is filed under the name Salmonella enterica subsp. enterica serovar Infantis. RNAcentral describes it as "bacterial LSU rRNA". It matches the Rfam family "Bacterial large subunit ribosomal RNA", at positions 2631 to 2925 of the family's 2925-position model. Lineage: Bacteria; Pseudomonadati; Pseudomonadota; Gammaproteobacteria; Enterobacterales; Enterobacteriaceae. The record is from RNAcentral.
UCGGGCCCUAUCUGCCGUGGGCGCUGGAGAACUGAGGGGGGCUGCUCCUAGUACGAGAGGACCGGAGUGGACGCAUCACUGGUGUUCGGGUUGUCAUGCCAAUGGCACUGCCCGGUAGCUAAAUGCGGAAGAGAUAAGUGCUGAAAGCAUCUAAGCACGAAACUUGCCCCGAGAUGAGUUCUCCCUGAGACUUAAAGUCUCCUGAAGGAACGUUGAAGACGACGACGUUGAUAGGCCGGGUGUGUAAGCGCAGCGAUGCGUUGAGCUAACCGGUACUAAUGAACCGUGAGGCUUAACCUUACAACGCCGAAG